RNAcentral lists this transfer RNA (73 nucleotides) under Ictidomys tridecemlineatus (thirteen-lined ground squirrel). Its description in RNAcentral is "Spermophilus tridecemlineatus (thirteen-lined ground squirrel) tRNA". It matches the Rfam family "tRNA". Rfam says of the family: Transfer RNA (tRNA) molecules are approximately 80 nucleotides in length. Their secondary structure includes four short double-helical elements and three loops (D, anti-codon, and T loops). The record is from Rfam by way of RNAcentral. Lineage: Eukaryota; Metazoa; Chordata; Mammalia; Rodentia; Sciuridae.
GGGGAUAUAGCUCAGUUGGUAGAGUUCUUGCCUCCAAUGUACAAGACCCUGGGUUCAAUCCCCAGCACCACCA